Molecule: ribosomal RNA, 758 nt
Filed under: uncultured Prevotella sp.
Lineage: Bacteria; Pseudomonadati; Bacteroidota; Bacteroidia; Bacteroidales; Prevotellaceae
Description: bacterial SSU rRNA
Rfam family: Bacterial small subunit ribosomal RNA
Source: RNAcentral
GAUGAACGCUAGCUACAGGCUUAACACAUGCAAGUCGAGGGGCAGCGGGUUGAAAGCUUGCUUUCAAUGCCGGCGACCGGCGCACGGGUGCGUAACGCGUAUCAAACCUGCCUCAUACUCGGGGAUAGCCUUGCGAAAGUAAGAUUAAUACCCGAUGUUGUUGCUUUCUCGCAUGGGAGAGUAACCAAAGAUUUAUCGGUAUGAGAUGGUGAUGCGUCCGAUUAGGUAGUAGGCGGGGUAACGGCCCACCUAGCCUUCGAUCGGUAGGGGUUCUGAGAGGAAGGUCCCCCACACUGGAACUGAGACACGGUCCAGACUCCUACGGGAGGCAGCAGUGAGGAAUAUUGGUCAAUGGGCGAGAGCCUGAACCAGCCAAGUAGCGUGCAGGAUGACGGCCCUCCGGGUUGUAAACUGCUUUUAGUUGGGAAUAAAAAAAGGGACUUGUCCCUUCUUGUAUGUACCUUCAGAAAAAGGACCGGCUAAUUCCGUGCCAGCAGCCGCGGUAAUACGGAAGGUCCAGGCGUUAUCCGGAUUUAUUGGGUUUAAAGGGAGCGUAGGCGGAUUGUUAAGUCAGCGGUUAAAGGGUGUGGCUCAGCCAUGCAUUGCCGUUGAAACUGGCGAUCUUGAGUGCAGGCAGGGAUGCCGGAAUUCGUGGUGUAGCGGUGAAAUGCUUAGAUAUCACGAAGAACUCCGAUCGCGAAGGCAGGUGUCCGGGCUGCAACUGACGCUGAGGCUCGAAAGUGUGGGUAUCAAAAAGG